GGUUCCAUAGUAUGGCAGUCAGCACAUCUGCUUCACACGCAGAAGGUCCUGGGUUCGCGCCCCAGUGGAGCCA
Pteropus alecto (black flying fox) is the source of this 73-nucleotide non-coding RNA. The record is from Rfam. NCBI's taxonomy places the organism in Eukaryota, Metazoa, Chordata, Mammalia, Chiroptera, Pteropodidae.